GUCGAGCGGACAGAUGGGAGCUUGCUCCCUGAUGUUAGCGGCGGACGGGUGAGUAACACGUGGGUAACCUGCCUGUAAGACUGGGAUAACUCCGGGAAACCGGGGCUAAUACCGGAUGCUUGUUUGAACCGCAUGGUUCAAACAUAAAAGGUGGCUUCGGCUACCACUUACAGAUGGACCCGCGGCGCAUUAGCUAGUUGGUGAGGUAAUGGCUCACCAAGGCGACGAUGCGUAGCCGACCUGAGAGGGUGAUCGGCCACACUGGGACUGAGACACGGCCCAGACUCCUACGGGAGGCAGCAGUAGGGAAUCUUCCGCAAUGGACGAAAGUCUGACGGAGCAACGCCGCGUGAGUGAUGAAGGUUUUCGGAUCGUAAAGCUCUGUUGUUAGGGAAGAACAAGUACCGUUCGAAUAGGGCGGUACCUUGACGGUACCUAACCAGAAAGCCACGGCUAACUACGUGCCAGCAGCCGCGGUAAUACGUAGGUGGCAAGCGUUGUCCGGAAUUAUUGGGCGUAAAGGGCUCGCAGGCGGUUUCUUAAGUCUGAUGUGAAAGCCCCCGGCUCAACCGGGGAGGGUCAUUGGAAACUGGGGAACUUGAGUGCAGAAGAGGAGAGUGGAAUUCCACGUGUAGCGGUGAAAUGCGUAGAGAUGUGGAGGAACACCAGUGGCGAAGGCGACUCUCUGGUCUGUAACUGACGCUGAGGAGCGAAAGCGUGGGGAGCGAACAGGAUUAGAUACCCUGGUAGUCCACGCCGUAAACGAUGAGUGCUAAGUGUUAGGGGGUUUCCGCCCCUUAGUGCUGCAGCUAACGCAUUAAGCACUCCGCCUGGGGAGUACGGUCGCAAGACUGA
Molecule: ribosomal RNA, 855 nt
Filed under: Bacillus subtilis
Lineage: Bacteria; Bacillati; Bacillota; Bacilli; Caryophanales; Bacillaceae
Description: bacterial SSU rRNA
Rfam family: Bacterial small subunit ribosomal RNA
Source: RNAcentral